UGAGGAAUAUUGGUCAAUGGGCGCGAGCCUGAACCAGCCAAGUAGCGUGAAGGAUGAAGGUCCUACGGAUUGUAAACUUCUUUUAUAAGGGAAUAAAGUCACCCACGUGUGGGUGUUUGUAUGUACCUUAUGAAUAAGCAUCGGCUAACUCCGUGCCAGCAGCCGCGGUAAUACGGAGGAUGCGAGCGUUAUCCGGAUUUAUUGGGUUUAAAGGGAGCGUAGACGGGCCGUUAAGUCAGCUGUGAAAGUUUGAGGCUCAACCUUAAAAUUGCAGUUGAUACUGGAUAUCUUGAGUGCAGUUGAGGCAGGCGGAAUUCGUGGUGUAGCGGUGAAAUGCUUAGAUAUCACGAAGAACUCCGAUUGCGAAGGCAGCCCGCUAAGCUGCAACUGACAUUGAGGCUCGAAAGUGUGGGUAUCAAACAGGAUUAGAUACCCUGGUAGUCCACACGGUAAACGAUGAAUACUCGCUGUUUGCGAUAUACUGCAAGCGGCCAAGCGAAAGCGUUAAGUAUUCCACCUGGGGAGUACGCCGGCAACGGUGAAACUCAAAGGAAUUGACGGGGGCCCGCACAAGCGGAGGAACAUGUGGUUUAAUUCGAUGAUACGCGAGGAACCUUACCCGGGCUUAAAUUGCAGAUGAAUUACGGUGAAAGCCGUAAGCCGCAAGGCAUCUGUGAAGGUGCUGCAUGGUUGUCGUCAGCUCGUGCCGUGAGGUGUCGGCUUAAGUGCCAUAACGAGCGCAACCCUUGUUGUCAGUUACUAACAGGUUCCGCUGAGGACUCUGACAAGACUGCCAUCGUAAGAUGUGAGGAAGGUGGGGAUGACGUCAAAUCAGCACGGCCCUUACGUCCGGGGCUACACACGUGUUACAAUGGGGGGUACAGAGGGCCGCUACCACGCGAGUGGAUGCCAAUCCCCAAAACCUCUCUCAGUUCGGACUGGAGUCUGCAACCCGACUCCACGAAGCUGGAUUCGCUAGUAAUCGCGCAUCAGCCACGGCGCGGUGAAUACGUUCCC
RNAcentral lists this ribosomal RNA (1017 nucleotides) under uncultured bacterium. RNAcentral describes it as "bacterial SSU rRNA". It matches the Rfam family "Bacterial small subunit ribosomal RNA", at positions 355 to 1375 of the family's 1533-position model. The record is from RNAcentral.